UAUCUCUAUCUCAAAAAGAUAAUUAUUUCGUAAUUAUAUAAAAAUAGUAAUUAAAUAUCUAUAAAUAGUCUUAAAACUAGUUAUUCCUCCUAAUUUUUAUAUCAUUUACUAGAUAACUUUUGUCCGUGCGCGCACGGGCUUAAUAUUAUUUAAGUAAUAUUAACCACACUUCAUGACUCAAGUGUGUUAUUAGAAACUGUAACGGAAGUUGCAGUAACUAUGAAAAUAUCUGACAUGAGUAUACAUAUGAAUGAUGGAUGUGUAAGCUCCACAAAGCUUAAUCCUCAACAGUUAUGAUCACUGUGAUUCUUGUAUAACUGAUAUCUGUUGGAGCUAUAAUAGCAUUUAGAUCUGCCAUUCAACCAUUAAAUUUUUUCACUUCACUUUCGAUUAUUGAAAUUCACAGAUAAAAAUAGAUGAGAAUGGAUCAAUUUAUAUGCUAAACUUGUCUAUACACUUGCGCUUCAAUUACUCACAAAAAGUCAAAAACAACUCCAAUUUAUAUUCAUGACCAAACACAAUUCCAAAUUUCAUAUAUCAUUUUUCACUUUGAAAACAAAUUUUUUUUUUUUUUUCAAAUUUCACAAUGAAACAUUACCAGAUAGCCAAUAACUUUCUAAACAAUGUUGCUUUCACUAACUCCUCUAGUAUGAGUAUCUUGAAUUAACAACAUGUUGAGGAUUUAUGGCCUUUUGUUCUCUGUUUGGAAGAUCCUCUAAUUUCUUUUUCGCCAUAUAAACUCCCGCAGCUAAUGUCAUUCUAAAAACUUCUGCAUGUAAACUAUUGUCUUUGAAGUUUGUAAUUUUCUAAUUCAUCCCACUUCCAUCCUUGAGCUUGUCUUUGAAUUUGCAGUUAUAUUAGCAUGGUAUUCCAGACUUGCACUAAAUAAGGGCACAUAAAAAAGAGAUGUUCAGCAUACUCAUUAUCCUUGAUGUGUAGUCCACACUUCUCAUCCUCCAAGCAUCUUCAUCUGGCUAACCUUCCCUUUGUAAACAGCUUGCUAUAUAGGAUAAGUUGACCAUUUAGGAGGGUAUAUUUUGUUGUAAAUCAGCCUUGUCCAAUUAACCUUCUGGUAAGCUCUUUUUAGCUGAAGAGUUUGCUGAUAGUAAACUUAUCUGAUCUUAGUACAUCCAUUUCUCACCUACCAACUUCCUCAAAGUAUUUGUGAACUUCGAUGAUAACAGAUAAAAAUAUAUGAAAAUGGUCAAUUUGUAGUCCAACGAAAAGAAUCACUCUUUUCGCCUCCAAACAGUUCAUUAAUUUUGGCAAAACUAUGAUACUAUAUUUUGUCCCCAAUCAAAAUUAUGAGUCGGAUGAAUUUCAACAAUUAGCUAGUGAUCCAUCAAGACAUUUGACUAAAAAUUCAACAUGCAGCUCAAAAGACUGAACCAUUCUAAUCUACAUAUUCAUCAGCUAACGAAACAAUCAGGCUCCAAAAGUUAAAGAUAUUUGAAAGUGUUAUCUGAGUUAAAAAUACCAUUUUUUAUAAUCUACAAUAUUUACCACCAAAACAACUUAGGCUCCAAUAAAUUGAAGGAACAACUAACCAGAAAGGCAAAACAACAACCUGAGUAGAACAAUCUGGGAAAGAGAAUAACAAUGUGCAUUCUUUAGGAGCUUAUUUCCGUCCCUGAGUUCUUCUUUGCGGGAGAUUCUAAAAUAGAGCUCAGAUUUUUCAAUCUUUCCUGCUGAAUCUCACUCGGGGACCUGUAAACACUAUCUAUUAUAUUGAAGUUUGGUUCAUUUUUUAAUUUGUGAUGGAUAUGAUCAAGCACAUAAUCCUGCAUCUUCAAAUACACCAUGUCUACAAUACAUUAUGUCACAUAUUUAAAAUUUUACCAACAAAAAUAGAACAAUAUUAACCCUAUCAAUUGAAGGUUUAACGACAUAAUAUGUUCACCAUGAACUUGUGCAGUUAGAAAUAAAAUAUUUAAAUAUUAUUGCUCGUUGUUCUUAUCGAUGAUUCGGUCAUUUACUUCAAAGAAUAUGCAAUUAUUGUCUUGUGCGGGAAAUUAUAUUACUUUUCUUUCCUUUUAAAUUAUCCCAAAAUUAAUCAUAUUAGUCACUAAUAUGUUCUCCUUAAAUAGUUUUGAGAUUUGCAGUAAAAAACAUUCUCGAGUGACUUUUAUGCAUGCCAUAUCAUAAAUUUAUAAAGCUAAGAUUAAAUGGAACAUGUGAAUGAGGGUUAGAACUUAGAAGAUUCACUACCAGCCAAAUGAGAUAUAGUGAAUAAAGUUUUCAAGAAUCAACUUCAAUAUCUUCUGCUUGUCGGUCCUUAUUCACCAAUGAAAAUAUUAAAAUUCCUACAUAAGAGAUCAAUUUAUUUUAAUAAUUUUUAGCGAAUCAAAAUUAAAGACAAUUUAAGCAUAGUAGAUUGCAACUAUCUAAAAAAAACAUACUACACUAAAUGUGUUCCUUGAAACUUAACUUCAUUUACCUCAGCAUGGCUGAUAUCAUAAUAUACUACUUGUAAGGCAUUCUACAAAUGGCUUCCGGACAAUUAGGAUAGAAACCACUCCAUCCAAUAUAAAUUAUAUUCAAAGUUGGGAAAACGAGGUCUGGUUCAAUCAAGGUAUAGCUUAACGGAAUGAAAGAGAAUUAGUGUAUUAAGCAAGUAGGAAAAAGCAGAAAAAGGGACUUCAGACGUUGUUCUCAAGUCUAGUUAACGAAAGCCCCAAGUCACCAAUAACAUUGAGCAAAACUCUUUCCUGAAGCAACUCACUCCAAAUGAACAAAUUGUCAGUCAUAUCAUCAAACAAUUAGGGUGCAUAUUCCACUUCAAUAGAUUUAACUGUUGGAUAGUGAUUUAACUUUCAACAUUCAAUUACUCCAGAUUCAAACUUCAUUAACCCAUGGAACUGAAUCUAAAAUCAAAACUUUACAAAUCUAUUCGAACAAACGUAGAAAUCAAAGAAAAAUUGAAGCUCAAAAGAAAAUCAACGAAAAAUAGAGAGACAACAAGAAUUACCUCAAAAUUGCAGUAAUACUCGGAGACGAUUUGAAUAUGAAAAGCCAAUACUUAUGGGAGAUGAAAAACUUCAUAAAAAUAUAGUUCUUGGAGAAUCGGGAAGUUUUCCAAUUUUUCGUCUGGGAAACUCUGCAAGAUGAAGAACCUAUAGUGGAUGAGAGAAUGUGAUGAAGUAUCGAUGGAUGACAACACAAGAAAAUGGUGG
This 3173-nucleotide long non-coding RNA is filed under the name Solanum tuberosum (potato). Its description in RNAcentral is "long non-coding RNA (STUB_LNC004265)". The record is from RNAcentral. Lineage: Eukaryota; Viridiplantae; Streptophyta; Magnoliopsida; Solanales; Solanaceae.